RNAcentral lists this RNase P RNA (245 nucleotides) under Salmonella enterica. RNAcentral describes it as "partial RNase P RNA component class A". It matches the Rfam family "Bacterial RNase P class A", at positions 117 to 367 of the family's 367-position model. From Rfam's summary of the family: Ribonuclease P (RNase P) is a ubiquitous endoribonuclease, found in archaea, bacteria and eukarya as well as chloroplasts and mitochondria. Its best characterised activity is the generation of mature 5'-ends of tRNAs by cleaving the 5'-leader elements of precursor-tRNAs. Cellular RNase Ps are ribonucleoproteins. The record is from RNAcentral. Lineage: Bacteria; Pseudomonadati; Pseudomonadota; Gammaproteobacteria; Enterobacterales; Enterobacteriaceae.
GAGAGCAAACCGCCGAUGGCCCACGCACGUGGGAUCAGGUAAGGGUGAAAGGGUGCGGUAAGAGCGCACCGCGCGGCUGGUAACAGUCCGUGGCACGGUAAACUCCACCCGGAGCAAGGCCAAAUAGGGGUUCAUAAGGUACGGCCCGUACUGAACCCGGGUAGGCUGCUUGAGCCAGUGAGCGAUUGCUGGCCUAGAUGAAUGACUGUCCACGACAGAACCCGGCUUAUCGGUCAGUUUCACCU